UUUAUACGUCGAAUUUUGGUCGCGUCGAAUGCAAUUAAGACAAUAGAUAAUGAGAUGAUAAACCUCAUUAAUUAAACUUCAUUAUCUAUUGUUUGAAUUGCAUUCGACGCGACCAAAAUUCGACGUAUAAA
RNAcentral lists this microRNA precursor (131 nucleotides) under Paramuricea clavata. The record is from RNAcentral. Lineage: Eukaryota; Metazoa; Cnidaria; Anthozoa; Malacalcyonacea; Plexauridae.